GAUGAUGUCGCCAAACGGUUAAGGCACUUGUCUGCAAAACAAGUAUUGUAGGUUCAAAUCCUAUCAUCAUCU
This 72-nucleotide transfer RNA is filed under the name Agathobacter rectalis M104/1. Its description in RNAcentral is "tRNA-Cys (GCA) (tRNA-Cys-GCA-2-1)". It matches the Rfam family "tRNA". Rfam says of the family: Transfer RNA (tRNA) molecules are approximately 80 nucleotides in length. Their secondary structure includes four short double-helical elements and three loops (D, anti-codon, and T loops). The record is from RNAcentral. Lineage: Bacteria; Bacillati; Bacillota; Clostridia; Lachnospirales; Lachnospiraceae.